This 451-nucleotide ribosomal RNA is filed under the name uncultured bacterium. RNAcentral's name for it is "partial 16S ribosomal RNA". It matches the Rfam family "Bacterial small subunit ribosomal RNA", at positions 28 to 507 of the family's 1533-position model. The record is from RNAcentral.
GAUGAAUGCUGGCGGCGUGCCUAACACAUGCAAGUCGAGCGGCAGCGAGGGGUGCUUGCACCCUGUCGGCGAGCGGCGAACGGCUGAGUAACGCGUAGGAAUUUGCCCCAAAGUGAGGAAUAACUGCCCGAAAGGGUAGCUAAUGCCGCAUAUGGUCUUCGGAUUAAAGGAUUUAUCCGCUUUGGGAGAAGCCUGCGUUGGAUUAGGUUGUUGGUAGGGUAAUGGCCUACCAAGCCGACGAUCCAUAGCUGGCCUGAGAGGAUGAUCAGCCAGGCUGGAACUGAGACACGGUCCAGACUCCUACGGGAGGCAGCAGUGAGGAAUCUUCCACAAUGGGCGAAAGCCUGAUGGAGCAACGCCGCGUGGAGGAUGAAGGCCUUCGGGUUGUAAACUUCUUUUAUGAGUGAAGAAUAUGACGGUAACUCAUGAAUAAGCACCGGCUAACUACGUG